GCACUGGUGGUUUAGUGGUAAAAUUGGACAUUGCCAUGUUGUUGGUUACAGCUCUCGACGUUGUCUAGCCCCGGGUUCGAUUCCCGGCCAGUGCA
This 95-nucleotide transfer RNA is filed under the name Rhodotorula toruloides. RNAcentral describes it as "tRNA-Gly". It matches the Rfam family "tRNA". Rfam says of the family: Transfer RNA (tRNA) molecules are approximately 80 nucleotides in length. Their secondary structure includes four short double-helical elements and three loops (D, anti-codon, and T loops). The record is from RNAcentral. Lineage: Eukaryota; Fungi; Basidiomycota; Microbotryomycetes; Sporidiobolales; Sporidiobolaceae.